GGCUCAGGACGAACGCUGGCGGCGUGCUUAACACAUGCAAGUCGAACGGAAAGGCCUCAGCUUGCUGGGGUACUCGAGUGGCGAACGGGUGAGUAACACGUGGGUGAUCUGCCUUGUACUUCGGGAUAAGCCUGGGAAACUGGGUCUAAUACUGGAUAGGACCAUGCUUUAGUGUGUCAUGGUGGAAAGUUUUUUCGGUACAAGAUGAGCCCGCGGCCUAUCAGCUUGUUGGUGGGGUAAUGGCCUACCAAGGCGUCGACGGGUAGCCGGCCUGAGAGGGUGGACGGCCACAUUGGGACUGAGAUACGGCCCAGACUCCUACGGGAGGCAGCAGUGGGGAAUAUUGCACAAUGGGCGGAAGCCUGAUGCAGCGACGCCGCGUGGGGGAUGACGGCCUUCGGGUUGUAAACCUCUUUCGACAGGGACGAAGCUUUUGUGACGGUACCUGUAUAAGAAGCACCGGCUAACUACGUGCCAGCAGCCGCGGUAAUACGUAGGGUGCGAGCGUUGUCCGGAAUUACUGGGCGUAAAGAGCUCGUAGGUGGUUUGUCGCGUCGUCUGUGAAAUACCGGGGCUUAACUCCGGAGCUGCAGGCGAUACGGGCAUAACUUGAGUGCUGUAGGGGAGACUGGAAUUCCUGGUGUAGCGGUGGAAUGCGCAGAUAUCAGGAGGAACACCGAUGGCGAAGGCAGGUCUCUGGGCAGUAACUGACGCUGAGGAGCGAAAGCAUGGGGAGCGAACAGGAUUAGAUACCCUGGUAGUCCAUGCCGUAAACGGUGGGCGCUAGGUGUAGGGGUCUUCCACGACUUCUGUGCCGUAGCUAACGCAUUAAGCGCCCCGCCUGGGGAGUACGGCCGCAAGGCUAAAACUCAAAGGAAUUGACGGGGGCCCGCACAAGCGGCGGAGCAUGUGGAUUAAUUCGAUGCAACGCGAAGAACCUUACCUGGGCUUGACAUAUACAGGUUUGCUGCAGAAAUGUAGUGUCCCUUUGUGGUCUGUUUACAGGUGGUGCAUGGUUGUCGUCAGCUCGUGUCGUGAGAUGUUGGGUUAAGUCCCGCAACGAGCGCAACCCUUGUCUUAUGUUGCCAGCACGUGAUGGUGGGGACUCAUGAGAGACUGCCGGGGUUAACUCGGAGGAAGGUGGGGAUGACGUCAAAUCAUCAUGCCCCUUAUGCCCAGGGCUUCACACAUGCUACAAUGGUCGGUACAACGCGCAGCCAGCCCGUGAGGGUGAGCGAAUCGCUGAAAGCCGGCCUCAGUUCGGAUUGGGGUCUGCAACUCGACCCCAUGAAGUCGGAGUCGCUAGUAAUCGCAGAUCAGCAACGCUGCGGUGAAUACGUUCCCGGGCCUUGUACACACCGCCCGUCACGUCAUGAAAGUUGGUAACACCCGAAGCCAGUGGCCUAACCCUUGUGGGGGGAGCUGUCGAAGGUGGGAUCGGCGAUUGGGACGAAGUCGUAACAAGGUAGCCGUACCGGAAGGUGCGGCUGGAUCACCUCCUUUCUAAGGAGUUUUAUUAUCUAUUUUCUAAAAUCCGGGUGGAUCAUCAUAAAAACAUCAUCUGUGCUGUUCGUGUCUCUUAUAGAUGAGGGGCUGGGCAUGACCUGGGUGUGAUCGAAAAAAGUUUUAUAGCGAAAGAACAUAGUUCAUCAUGGUUUCCUGUUUCUUACCCGUUUGUGGGUGGGGUGGGGGUUGUGGUGGUUGGUGCACUGUUGGGUGUCUGGGAUGGCACGUGUUUUGUUGUCCUUGAUAUGUCACUAUUUGUCCCCCUGUUGUUGGUUGGUGUUGUGCUUGCUGGUUGGGGGGUUGGUGGUGGUGUGUGUGUUGUGUGAGAACUGUAUAGUGGACGCGAGCAUUUUUAUCUUUAUUCUUUUGUGUGUUUCUUUUAUUUUGUAAGUUUGUGUGUGUUUGAUGAAGGGCACACGGUGGAUGCCUUGGCAUGCUAAGCCGAUGAAGGACGUGUAAGGCUGCGUUAAGCCUCGGGGAGUUGUCAAUAGAGCGUUGAUCCGAGGAUGUCCGAAUGGGGAAACCCGGCCAUGGUUAUGUGUGGUCACCUGCCAGUGAAUUCAUAGCUGGUGUGGGGGUUGACGCGGGGAAGUGAAACAUCUCAGUACCCGUAGGAGAAGAAAACAAUUGUGAUUCCGUUAGUAGUGGCGAGCGAACGUGGAUGAGGCUAAACCGUAUGCGUGUGAUACGUGACAGUGGUUGCGUGUGCGGGGUUGUGGGGUUGAAGCGUAAGGUGGCUGUCACCGCCUUGCUGGUGCUGAUGCGUGUUAGUGGAAGUGGUGUGGAAUCGCCUGCCGUAGAAGGUGAGAGUCCUGUACAUGAAAGCGUGUGUUGGCCUGGUUGCUUUUGUCCCCGAGUAGCAGCGGGCUCGUGGAAUCUGCUGUGAAUCUGCCGGGACCACCCGGUAAGCCUAAA
RNAcentral lists this ribosomal RNA (2421 nucleotides) under Corynebacterium sp. RNAcentral describes it as "bacterial SSU rRNA". The stretch from base 1 to 1503 matches the Rfam family "Bacterial small subunit ribosomal RNA". The record is from RNAcentral. Lineage: Bacteria; Bacillati; Actinomycetota; Actinomycetes; Mycobacteriales; Corynebacteriaceae.